Molecule: long non-coding RNA, 681 nt
Organism: Ornithorhynchus anatinus (platypus)
Lineage: Eukaryota; Metazoa; Chordata; Mammalia; Monotremata; Ornithorhynchidae
Exons: 2
Source: RefSeq, a predicted model, not a curated record
UCCCCCAGCUGCCCAAGUCACCCCAACAGGGAGACUAAAACGGAUCAUCUGGAGAGACAAAUAUACGCGGGAUCUGACGUGCCACGCAACGCCAACUGAUGGUCCACAUCGUGUGCCGCCGCCAACCAGCGCUUAGCACAGUGCCCUGCACUCGAACCUUUAGCGUCUCCAAAAGCCCGGCAAACCUCGCCCUGCCACGCUAGACCUGCCUUGUGAGGAGAAAAAGAACGCGAUCACUGAGCGGGCUGGGGGAGCGAGCCCACCCACCAUCCACAUCACCGCCGGCCCCGAAAUCUGAACGCGCAAGGUUAAAUUCCCAAGGACGCCUCCUCCCGCAAGUAGCUCGACGCUGGGAGAGAAGACUUCUGAGGGAGGAAAAAAAAUCAUCGAGAUACUGAAGGGUUCUCAGCUUCCGAAAGCAUUUCCUAUUAACUGAGAAAGAUGAGAUUCCGGCCUUCUGCUUUUGCCAACAAGCCUCCUCCCCGGAAGCGUCUGAGAGUGAAAUCUGCCCCCAAAAUACGCUUCCGGUUCUCGGAAAAUGCAGGGAAGUUCUCACAACAUCCCACAUUAAGGAGAGUCAAAGUCUGAUGCCGGGAGCGUGCUCACGGGCUGCUUCUUCCGAUGCCUUCUAUCCAAGAAGGUUUGACUAAACACUAUAAUAAAUACUAUGGUAUUCGUUAA